Molecule: ribosomal RNA, 280 nt
Filed under: uncultured bacterium
Lineage: Bacteria
Description: partial 16S ribosomal RNA
Rfam family: Bacterial small subunit ribosomal RNA
Source: RNAcentral
UGCCAGCCGCCGCGGUAAUACGGAGGGUGCGAGCGUUAAUCGGAAUUACUGGGCGUAAGGAGCUCGUAGGCGGUUUGGUAAGUCGGGUGUGAAAACUCAGGGCUCAACUCUGAGACGCCACCCGAUACUGCCAUGACUUGAGUACGGUAGAGGAGUGUGGAAUUCCUGGUGUAGCGGUGAAAUGCGCAGAUAUCAGGAGGAACACCAGUAGCGAAGGCGGCACUCUGGGCCGAUACUGACGCUGAGGAGCGAAAGCAUGGGGAGCGAACAGGAUUAGAUA